GACAGAGGGUGCAAACGUUGUUCGGAAUUACUGGGCGUAAAGCGCGUGUAGGCUGCUCGGAAAGUCGGAUGUGAAAGCCCUGGGCUCAACCUAGGAAGUGCAUUCGAAACUUCCGAGCUGGAGUGCUGGAGAGGAAGGCGGAAUUCUCGGUGUAGAGGUGAAAUUCGUAGAUAUCGAGAGGAACACCGGUGGCGAAGGCGGCCUUCUGGACAGCGACUGACGCUGAGACGCGAAAGCGUGGGUAGCGAACAGG
Molecule: ribosomal RNA, 253 nt
Filed under: uncultured bacterium
Lineage: Bacteria
Description: partial 16S ribosomal RNA
Rfam family: Bacterial small subunit ribosomal RNA
Source: RNAcentral